RNAcentral lists this unclassified non-coding RNA (391 nucleotides) under soil metagenome. RNAcentral describes it as "partial contains 5.8S ribosomal RNA, internal transcribed spacer 2, and large subunit ribosomal RNA". The stretch from base 1 to 122 matches the Rfam family "5.8S ribosomal RNA", at positions 35 to 154 of the family's 154-position model. The record is from RNAcentral.
GAUGAAGAACGCAGCGAAAUGCGAUACUUGGUGUGAAUUGCAGAAUCCCGUGAACCAUCGAGUCUUUGAACGCAAGUUGCGCCCGAAGCCAUUAGGCCGAGGGCACGCCUGCCUGGGUGUCACACGUCGUUGCCCCCCCAUCUACUCCUUCGGGAUUGCGGGGGGCGGAUGAUGGCCUCCCGUGCGCCUCGUCGCGCGGUUGGCAUAAAUGCCAAGUCCUCGGCGACGCACGCCACGACAAUCGGUGGUUGCGAAACCUCGGUUGCCCGUCGUGUGCGGUCGUCGCGCAUCGAGGGCUCGAAAAAAUUGCCGGGCUCCGGCUCGGCUUUCAACGCGACCCCAGGUCAGGCGGGGUUACCCGCUGAAUUUAAGCAUAUCAAUAAGCGGAGGA